RNAcentral lists this ribosomal RNA (206 nucleotides) under uncultured bacterium. RNAcentral's name for it is "partial 16S ribosomal RNA". It matches the Rfam family "Bacterial small subunit ribosomal RNA", at positions 569 to 774 of the family's 1533-position model. The record is from RNAcentral.
GCGUAGACGGCAAUGCAAGUCUGAAGUGAAAGGACGGGGCUUAACCCUGUGACUGCUUUGGAAACUGUGUAGCUUGAGUGCAGGAGAGGAAAGGGGAAUUCCCAGUGUAGCGGUGAAAUGCGUAGAUAUUGGGAGGAACACCAGUGGCGAAGGCGCCUUUCUGGACUGUGUCUGACGCUGAGAUGCGAAAGCCAGGGUAGCGAACG